GGCUUAGAGUUUGAUCAUGGCUCAGGAUGAACGCUAGCGACAGGCCUAACACAUGCAAGUCGAGGGGCAGCGGAGAGGUAGCAAUACCUUUGCCGGCGACCGGCGCACGGGUGAGUAACACGUAUGCAAUCCACCUGUAACAGGGGGAUAACCCGGAGAAAUCCGGACUAAUACCCCAUAAUAUGGGCUCUCCGCAUGGAGGGUCCAUUAAAGAGAGCAAUUUUGGUUACAGACGAGCAUGCGCUCCAUUAGCCAGUUGGCGGGGUAACGGCCCACCAAAGCGACGAUGGAUAGGGGUUCUGAGAGGAAGGUCCCCCACAUUGGAACUGAGACACGGUCCAAACUCCUACGGGAGGCAGCAGUGAGGAAUAUUGGUCAAUGGUCGGCAGACUGAACCAGCCAAGUCGCGUGAGGGAAGACGGCCCUACGGGUUGUAAACCUCUUUUGUCGGAGAGUAAAGUACGCUACGUGUAGCGUAUUGCAAGUAUCCGAAGAAAAAGCAUCGGCUAACUCCGUGCCAGCAGCCGCGGUAAUACGGAGGAUGCGAGCGUUAUCCGGAUUUAUUGGGUUUAAAGGGUGCGUAGGCGGCACGCCAAGUCAGCGGUGAAAUUUUCGGGCUCAACCCGGACUGUGCCGUUGAAACUGGCGAGCUAGAGUGCACAAGAGGCAGGCGGAAUGCGUGGUGUAGCGGUGAAAUGCAUAGAUAUCACGCAGAACCCCGAUUGCGAAGGCAGCCUGCUAGGGUGCGACAGACGCUGAGGCACGAAAGCGUGGGUAUCGAACAGGAUUAGAUACUCCUGGUAGUCCACGCAGUAAACGAUGAUACUAACUGUUUGCGAUACAAUGUAAGCGGUACAGCGAAAGCGUUA
This 869-nucleotide ribosomal RNA is filed under the name uncultured bacterium. Its description in RNAcentral is "bacterial SSU rRNA". It matches the Rfam family "Bacterial small subunit ribosomal RNA", at positions 1 to 862 of the family's 1533-position model. The record is from RNAcentral.